Molecule: long non-coding RNA, 311 nt
Filed under: Cotesia glomerata
Lineage: Eukaryota; Metazoa; Arthropoda; Insecta; Hymenoptera; Braconidae
Description: uncharacterized LOC123267445, transcript variant X2
Source: RNAcentral
GCAUGAUAAACCAGCGGCUGACUGGUCUUUGGUCUGCUUGUUGGCUCUGGCUGGAGAACGGGCCCCACUGCCACCACCUUCCUGCGCAGACGCCACUCCGAGUCGUUCGCUGAUUAGACUCCGCAAUCUCGCGGAGUCCAGGUGGCAGCCGCUGCCAAUUAUUCUGUUGUACGGGAGACCGCUUACUUUCCAUGUUACCCAAGACAAAAUAUCAACUAAAGAUCAUCAUAAUUUGCGAACAUCGAUUUUCUUCCGGUCUUCGAGAAUAUGAGGAGGAGUUAUUAAUUAGCGAAGAUAGUGGUAUAACUUCG